RNAcentral lists this ribosomal RNA (253 nucleotides) under uncultured bacterium. RNAcentral describes it as "partial 16S ribosomal RNA". It matches the Rfam family "Bacterial small subunit ribosomal RNA", at positions 524 to 776 of the family's 1533-position model. The record is from RNAcentral.
UACGGGGGGGGCAAGCGUUGUUCGGAAUUACUGGGCGUAAAGGGCUCGUAGGUGGCCAACUAAGUCAGACGUGAAAUCCCUCGGCUUAACCGGGGAACUGCGUCUGAUACUGGAUGGCUUGAGUGUGGGAGAGGGAUGCGGAAUUCCAGGUGUAGCGGUGAAAUGCGUAGAUAUCUGGAGGAACACCGGUGGCGAAGGCGGCAUCCUGGACCGGCAUUGACGCUGAGGCGCGAAAGCCAGGGGAGCAAACGGG